RNAcentral lists this ribosomal RNA (398 nucleotides) under uncultured bacterium. RNAcentral's name for it is "bacterial SSU rRNA". It matches the Rfam family "Bacterial small subunit ribosomal RNA", at positions 358 to 773 of the family's 1533-position model. The record is from RNAcentral.
GGAAUCUUAGACAAUGGGCGCAAGCCUGAUCUAGCCAUGCCGCGUGAUCGAUGAAGGCCUUAGGGUUGUAAAGAUCUUUCAGCUGGGAAGAUAAUGACGGUACCAGGCGAAGAAGCCCCGGCUAACACCGUGCCAGCAGCCGCGGUAAUACGGAGGGGGCUAGCGUUGUUCGGAAUUACUGGGCGUAAAGCGCACGUAGGCGGAUUAGUCAGUCAGAGGUGAAAUCCCAGGGCUCAACCUUGGAACUGCCUUUGAUACUGCUAGUCUAGAGUUCGAGAGAGGUGAGUGGAAUUCCGAGUGUAGAGGUGAAAUUCGUAGAUAUUCGGAGGAACACCAGUGGCGAAGGCGGCUCACUGGCUCGAUACUGACGCUGAGGUGCGAAAGCGUGGGGAGCAAAC